GAUGAAGAACGUAGCGAAAUGCGAUAAGUAGUGUGAAUUGCAGAAUUCCGUGAAUCAUCGAAUCUUUGAACGCACAUUGCGCCUUCUGGUAUUCCGGAAGGCAUGCCUGUUCGAGAGUCAUUAACAACCGUUUCGAUCCCUUUCUUUCAGAAAUUACAAAGAGAAAAAGGGUUUGGUUAUGGUGGAGGAGGGAAAGGGAGCGUUUAGCCUGUAAAAAAAGAGGCUCUGUUCCGCCUCCCCCCCAAAAUUGUACAGGCGGUCGUGUGCGCCCACGCAUCGAGGUGUUGUAAAAGCUGCCACGGCACUUUUCACCUGUGCAGUGCGAGAUUGGCCAGCCGGUUUAAAAACCCCUCCAAACAAUCAAAGGUUGACCUCGGAUCAGGUAGGGAUACCCGCUGAACUUAAGCAUAUCAAUAAGCGGAGGA
RNAcentral lists this unclassified non-coding RNA (425 nucleotides) under soil metagenome. RNAcentral describes it as "partial contains 5.8S ribosomal RNA, internal transcribed spacer 2, and large subunit ribosomal RNA". The stretch from base 1 to 120 matches the Rfam family "5.8S ribosomal RNA", at positions 35 to 154 of the family's 154-position model. The record is from RNAcentral.